AACGAACGCUGGCGGCAUGCCUAACACAUGCAAGUCGAACGCGUGUAGCAAUACACGAGUGGCGGACGGGUGAGUAACGCGUGGGAACCUGCCCAAUGGUAGGGAAUAACUGCGGGAAACUGCAACUAAUACCCUAUGCUCCCUACGGGGGAAAGAUUUAUCGCCAUUGGAGGGGCCCGCGUCGGAUUAGCUAGUUGGCGGGGUAACGGCCCACCAAGGCUACGAUCCGUAGCUGGUCUGAGAGGAUGAUCAGCCACACUGGGACUGAGAUACGGCCCAGACUCCUACGGGAGGCAGCAGUGGGGAAUAUUGGACAAUGGGGGAAACCCUGAUCCAGCAAUGCCGCGUGAGUGAAGAAGGCCUUUAGGGUUGUAAAGCUCUUUCGGCGGGACGAUGGUGACGGUACCCGCAGAAGAACGCCCCGGCUAACUUCGUGCCAGCA
RNAcentral lists this ribosomal RNA (442 nucleotides) under uncultured bacterium. RNAcentral's name for it is "bacterial SSU rRNA". It matches the Rfam family "Bacterial small subunit ribosomal RNA", at positions 29 to 513 of the family's 1533-position model. The record is from RNAcentral.